GAUGAACGCUGGCGGCGUGCCUAAUACAUGCAAGUCGAACGCUUUGUGGUUCAACUGAUUUGAAGAGCUUGCUUAGAUAUGACGAUGGACAUUGCAAAGAGUGGCGAACGGGUGAGUAACACGUGGGAAACCUACCUCUUAGCAGGGGAUAACAUUUGGAAACAGAUGCUAAUACCGUAUAACAAUGACAACCGCAUGGUUGUUAUUUAAAAGAUGGUUCUGCUAUCACUAAGAGAUGGUCCCGCGGUGCAUUAGCUAGUUGGUAAGGUAAUGGCUUACCAAGGCGAUGAUGCAUAGCCGAGUUGAGAGACUGAUCGGCCACAAUGGGACUGAGACACGGCCCAUACUCCUACGGGAGGCAGCAGUAGGGAAUCUUCCACAAUGGGCGAAAGCCUGAUGGAGCAACGCCGCGUGUGUGAUGAAGGGUUUCGGCUCGUAAAACACUGUUGUAAGAGAAGAAUGACAUUGAGAGUAACUGUUCAAUGUGUGACGGUAUCUUACCAGAAAGGAACGGCUAAAUACGUGCCAGCAGCCGCGGUAAUACGUAUGUUCCAAGCGUUAUCCGGAUUUAUUGGGCGUAAAGCGAGCGCAGACGGUUAUUUAAGUCUGAAGUGAAAGCCCUCAGCUCAACUGAGGAAUUGCUUUGGAAACUGGAUGACUUGAGUGCAGUAGAGGAAAGUGGGACUCCAUGUGUAGCGGUGAAAUGCGUAGAUAUAUGGAAGAACACCAGUGGCGAAAGCGGCUUUCUGGACUGUAACUGACGUUGAGGCUCGAAAGUGUGGGUAGCAAACAGGAUUAGAUACCCUGGUAGUCCACACCGUAAACGAUGAGUGCUAGGUGUUUGAGGGUUUCCGCCCUUAAGUGCCGCAGCUAACGCAUUAAGCACUCCGCCUGGGGAGUACGACCGCAAGGUUGAAACUCAAAGGAAUUGACGGGGACCCGCACAAGCGGUGGAGCAUGUGGUUUAAUUCGAAGCAACGCGAAGAACCUUACCAGGUCUUGACAUCCCUUGACAACUCCAGAGAUGGAGCGUUCCCUUCGGGGACAAGGUGACAGGUGGUGCAUGGUUGUCGUCAGCUCGUGUCGUGAGAUGUUGGGUUAAGUCCCGCAACGAGCGCAACCCUUAUUACUAGUUGCCAGCAUUCAGUUGGGCACUCUAGUGAGACUGCCGGUGACAAACCGGAGGAAGGUGGGGAUGACGUCAAAUCAUCAUGCCCCUUAUGACCUGGGCUACACACGUGCUACAAUGGCGUAUACAACGAGUUGCCAACCCGCGAGGGUGAGCUAAUCUCUUAAAGUACGUCUCAGUUCGGAUUGUAGGCUGCAACUCGCCUACAUGAAGUCGGAAUCGCUAGUAAUCGCGGAUCAGCACGCCGCGGUGAAUACGUUCCCGGGUCUUGUACACACCGCCCGUCACACCAUGAGAGUUUGUAACACCCAAAGCCGGUGGGGUAACCUUCGGGAGCCAGCCGUCUAAGGUGGGACAGAUGAUUAGGGUG
Molecule: ribosomal RNA, 1499 nt
Filed under: Weissella cibaria
Lineage: Bacteria; Bacillati; Bacillota; Bacilli; Lactobacillales; Lactobacillaceae
Description: bacterial SSU rRNA
Rfam family: Bacterial small subunit ribosomal RNA
Source: RNAcentral